This is a non-coding RNA of Zootoca vivipara (common lizard), 2636 nucleotides long. The record is from RefSeq and is a predicted model, not a curated record. Lineage: Eukaryota; Metazoa; Chordata; Lepidosauria; Squamata; Lacertidae.
AAGAACUGGGAGGUCAGGGCCCUCCAAGUGUCCCUAUUUCCCAGGGACAGUCCAGGAUUUACAGAAGCCGUCCUGGUUUCUAAUUUGAUCCCGGAAUGCCCCACUUUUCCUUAGGACGUCCCCAUUUUCAUGGGAGAAAUGUUGGAGGGUAUGGAGUCAUGUGACCCCCCCCCCUGGGCCAAGGAGAUAAGUAACUAUACAACCUUUAGAAGACAUCUGAAGGCACCCCUGUUUAGGGAUAUAUAUAUAUAUUUAGUGUUUAAUGUUUUAUUAUGGUUUUUAGAUGUGUUGGAAGCUGCCCAGAGUAGCUGGGGAAACCCAGUCAGAUAGGUAGGGUAAAGGUAAAGGACGCCUGACCAUUAGGUCCAGCCGUGAGCGACUGGGGUUGCAACGCUCAUCUCGUGUUAUUGGCCGAGGGAGCCAGCGUACAGCUUCCAGGUCAUGUGGCCAGCAUGACAAAGCCGCUUCUGGCGAACCAGAGCAGCGCACGGAAACGGCGUUUACCUUCCCGCAGGAGCGGUACCUAUUUAUCUACGUACUUGCAUUUUGACGUGCUUUCGAACUGCUAGGUUGGCAGGAGCUGGGACCGAGCAAUGGAAGCUCACCUCGUCACAGGGAUUAACCCACAGCGCCACCCUGAUAGGCAGGGUAUAAACAAUAAUAGGGACUCAGCUACAUUAGUCAAGAAGCAGUGUUUUGAAUGUGUUAUAAACAUGCAACACCAGAUGGCGCCAGAGAGCACAGAAAAAAUUCUAUGUGAUUCUCCAUAGCGGGUUUUUUUCUUUUGUUAUAACAAUUUAAUUUCUGGUGUGUUUAUAGCAGGGGGGAGUUUCCUGUGUGUAGAUCCACCCAAGAAUAUCCCUAUUUUCAUCGGCUAAAUGUUGGAGGGUAUGGGCUAUGUUCACACCCACUUUUUCAUGUUUAAAUAGGGCAGACAACACUUUUUUACAUUAUAGCCACAUGACUAAACAUCAUUUUGCUUAGCCCUUUAGAGGUGUCUUUGACAACCUGCUGCUCUGCAGAUGUUCUGUACUAUAACCCCUAUCAGACCAGCCAGAAGGGCACCAGUUUAGCAAAGGCUAUUUCAGAGCAUGCUAUUUUAUUAGAUGUCACAUAUAAUAGAUAUUGUUCUGCAAAAUUUGCUGGCUUUCGCAUCUUUGUCAUUCUGUAGUUUUGAUGACCUUUUGAUUCCACCUCCACCCCUGUAAGGAAGCUGGAAUUACUUACUUUAGGAGCAACUACCUUUCAAAAUCACUUCCAUUUUUAUUUGGGUUCAAUUCCCCCAUCCCCCGAGUGUUGUCAGCUGCACAGGUGCCAUGCCAUGCAUUUCCAGCAUGUCCCCCUCUCCACAGAAUCCUGGGAACUCUAGUUUACUGCUCAAAGAGCUGCAAUUCCUAGCAGCCUCAACAAAAGAGUCCUUUGGUAGGGGAAUGUGCUUUAAAUGUAUGCAUGCAGCCUAAUGAUUUGGGUAAGGAAACUAAGACAUCUUGUUGGGAAUAGGCCUGUACAUUUGAAGAGCUUCUGUGCUGGGCAGGAAUCUGUGAGGAAGAAGCAGAGGGAUAGUAAAAAAAAAAAUAAAGAACUACCUUGGGCCUUUAUAAGUCCCAUGGGAGUGCUGUUUAUAUCCCCCCCCCUUAAAUUCUGGCUGGAUCAUGCUCUCUGUGUUUUACCUACGUAAGCUACGCAACCAUUAAGAACAAAUUUUGACUAUUAAUUAUAUUUCAGAGUUCUAUAUUCCAGCUUUUCAGAUAGAAGCAGUUUACAGGAAUGCACCAGCCAAACAUCAGCUUUCAAACAAUUUGGCCAAGCAGAAGCUAAACUAUGAGGUUAGACUAAAGAAUUACAAAUAAAUGAAUAAAUACAUGUCAAUGUGAAGAAGGUGAUAAAGCCAGCUCAGUUUCUGCUUCGGACCCUUAGGCUUUAUUAGGCAACCAUAAGCACUUCCUUGAGUAAUCUGAAGUGACACUCAUUUUAUCACGGCACAGGAAAAGAUUGUCAUAUAUAAUAGAACUUCAUUUUUCACUUUGUUAUGUAUGGGUGCUGUGUUUUUUUCUUGUGGUAGACUUUAAAAAAAAAAUCCUUAUUGAAAUAUUAGCCAGUGUGGACAUUUUCUGUUUAGUCUGCUGUUGCAAGGAUCUGUCAAUGAGUCGAUUGAUUGCACAUUACAUUAUGAGGGAAGAAGAAGCCAAACUAGAUGUUACUUGGCAAUAUGUAGUUCUCAUUGUCGUCACACACACCCCGCCCUGCCAUGCCAGCUACGGUACUUAUGAAAUCAAAAACAGCUAUGACACAUGAAACUAUUAUUUAUUGCAUUUAUAUCCCACCUUCCCCCCCCCAGGAGCUCAAGGCGACGUCCAUUAUUUUCUCCCCCUCCUCAUUUAAUCCCCACAACAACCCUGUGAGGUAGGUUAGGUUGAGAGGCAGUGACUAGCCCAAGGUCACCCCCCAAGGAGCUUUGUGGCUGAGCAAGGAUUCGAAGUCUGGUCUCCCAGGUCCUGGCUUGACACUCUAACCACUACACCACACUGCGGUAGGAAUUACGUCCUGCUCAGCUCAAACAGGAAUGUACUCAAAAAGACAGGUCUGUGUCCCCAAGCAGGUGACAGUCUACAUUUCAGCAGCGGGUGAGACAAAAA